Molecule: long non-coding RNA, 489 nt
Filed under: Fukomys damarensis (Damara mole-rat)
Lineage: Eukaryota; Metazoa; Chordata; Mammalia; Rodentia; Bathyergidae
Description: lncRNA (ENSFDAG00000033490.1)
Source: RNAcentral
AGUCAAAUGCUAGCUCCUGCUUUUUAAAGUCACAUGGCUUUUGGCUUGUGUUUCAGGUGUUGCCUGAUCAGAUGAAAAUCUCCUCGGAGCCCUUAAAUAAGUUUGAGAAGGAAGACAAUGAGAUUCCUAGUAGCCUUGAAAGACAAACAGAACAGGCAGAAGAAUCCAAUGAACCGGCAGAGUCCAUGAGCGCCGGGGAGGACCGUUGUGUGGUAACUCUCCUCUCGGGCACGCAGUCCUGGCCUCCCGGAAGACUCUGCUUCUGAGGAUGACACAAAACAAGGACGAGGGGUGUCAGACACACAGAAAAAAAGGACACCGGUAAUAAUUUUUGUUAUUUUAAGGUGAUGUUCCUCAAAUUUCAGUAAUUUGCAUACAGCCUUCAAAAUGUGCUAUAGCCCCACUGUUUAUCUAAUUUUUUUAAUUAUAUGAAUUACUUCAAUUUCAAAUGGAGAAUCAGCAUUAUUUCUAGCAAAUAGGCAAACCCCC